AUGGCGGAGCUGGGUGAAGCCGAUGAAGCAACGCUUGGUGGCUGCCCAACAGCAGAGGGCGCAGUUUACUGCACAGGUGCAUCAUUUCAUGGAACUGUGCUGGGAUAAGUGUGUGGAGAAGCCAGGGAAUCGCCUCGAUUCUCGCACUGAAAAUCUCUCCAGCUGUGUAGACUGCUUCAUUGACACCACUCUUGCCAUCAUCAGUCGGUUUGCCCAGAUUGUACAGAAAGGAGGGCAGUAGGCCAUCCCCUAGAAGAAUGACAGAAGCAAAUGACUUGUUAUUAAGCAGACUGAAGGGCCAGUGGGGGAAGGUCGUCAGCCCAUUGUCAGAUCAGCAUCAGGCUGUUAUCAAGUCUGUUGGUGCUAAAAAGUGAAAGAUGAAAUGUUUAA
Molecule: non-coding RNA, 390 nt
Organism: Callithrix jacchus (white-tufted-ear marmoset)
Lineage: Eukaryota; Metazoa; Chordata; Mammalia; Primates; Cebidae
Source: RefSeq, a predicted model, not a curated record